UGUUGCACAAACCAUUCUCAUUAUUUUAACAAUGGCUGGACUUUUAUGAUAAUUACUAGAUCAACAUAAAGGAGUAAUGUUCCUAAUAAUGAAUGGUCUCGCUUUAAAUUUAUGUCAUAUACAAUGCUAUAUAGCUGUGGUUAUUUUCUUAAAAAUUUGCCCUGGCCAGGUGGCUCAGUCCACUGGAGCAUCAUCUCAUACACGGAAAGGUUGUGGGCACAUAACUAGGUUGCAGGUUCUAACCCCAACCAGUGUGCAUAUGCUAGUUAGCACUCUAACCGUCUUCCCCCUGGAAACACGCCGUAACAAAUUGCUAAUGGGUGAUACAUGCUGAAGUACCUAAUUUAACCAUUCCUCUUUACUGAACAUUUGCGCAAUUUCCAAUUGUUCUUUAAUGCAAAUAGUGCUUCACUGAAUGUUUCUAGAAAGAAAACUUUUUUAAGGAUAAACAAAACAAGGUGUAUUCAUACAACCAAAUUAUUAUUCAGCUAUUAAAAGGAAUGAGUACUAAAUGCAUGCUGUGACAGGGAUGAACCUUGAAAAGUAUGCUAAGUGAAAGAAUGCGGUUUAAAAAAGGCCACACAUUUCCUGUACUGCUGGUGGAAAUGUAAAAUGUACAAUCACUUUGGAAGACAGUAUAGCAGUUUCACUUACAGGUAAGUAACUAAAAUAAAUUGAAACAUACAUCCACACAAAGUUGUACGUGAAUGUUCAUAGCAGUGCUAUUCUUAACAGCCAAACUCUAGAAAGAAAACAAAUAUCCAUAAAUUGAUGACUGGGUAAAUAAAAUGUGGUAUAUUCAUACAACUGAAUAAUAUUCUGCCACAACAGAGAAUGAAGUGCUGGUACAUGCUACAACUAAGAUGCACCUCGAAACACUAUGCAAAGUGAAAGAAACCACUCACCAAAAGCCACAUAGUAUACGACCCCAUUUAUGUAAAAUGUCCAAAAAGAGGCAAACCAAGAGAGACAGAAAAUAGAUUAGUGGUUGCCUGGGGCUUGGGGGGAGGGAGGAAUGUAGAAUGACUCCUAAUUUAUUUUUGGGAUGAUGAAAAUACUCUAAAAUUAGACAAGAGUGACCACUGCACAACUGACUUAAUAUACUUUAAAAAGGUGAACUAUGAUAUGUAAAAUUAGGAUUCUGACACCAACAUUAAGCGAUUCUGACACCAGCUGGGUACCCAAUAAUUCAUCUCAAAUCUGACAUGAGCUUCUUAGAUAACAUCAAAUCCCACAGGUUAAGGGCUCCCUCCUACAAGACUACAGCUUUUCCCCUUCAGAGGUCAAUCAUACAUCCAGGUUGUCACUGUGUGAAUUCCCAUGACCCACCUCACCUCAGGUAUCAUUUAAUUUGCUAGAGCUGUUAAGAAAACUCUCAGAAACACUUACUAGAUUUUGUUUCUUAUACAAUGAUACAACUCAGGUAGAGCUAGGUAGAAGAGAUGCACAGAGCAAGGAAGGGGGAUAGAGACACGGAGCCUCCAUGCUUUCCCAGCAUUGCAACCGCACCAACCCAGAAGCACCCCAAACCCAUCCAUCCUCUUGGGUUCUUUGUGGAGGCUCCACUGCAAAGGCAUGGCUGAUGAAAGCACUGGCCACUGGCAAGUCACCCUCCAGCCCUUUUCCCUUCCAGAGGCCCCAGGGAUGAGACUUGAUGUUCCAUCCCGCUAAUCACAAGGUUUGGUCCAAGGCAACCAGCCCCCAUCCACUGGUGUGGUCCAAAAAACUGCCUCAUUAACAUAACAAAAGAAACUCCUUUUCCUCAUUCAAUGGUUUUAAAGCGUUCUGUACCACAAAGAGGGAAGAUGACCACAUAUGUAUUUCUUACUAUAAAUUACAUUACAUGAAUUAUCUCAAUAAAGCUGCCAUUAAAAAAGAACAAUAAUCUCCCUCAAGAAGGAAUGGCAGGAGGAAUUUGUUAUUCCCUUAGGACACAGCUAUACUCACAAGGCAAAAAUAUUCCUCACUACUCUGAUAUAUGCCACACUGCUUUUCAAAAGGGUUCUACAGAUUUAUACUCCCAACAGCAAUUUAUUUAGUACCUGUCUCACAGUACCUCAGUUGAUUUAGCACCAUUUAUUAAAUCUUAAAUCUGGUAAGAGAAACUUGUUACUGAUUAUUACUUAAACUGAACACCUUUUCUCAUAUUUUAGUCAUUUUUUUCUUUUGGAAAGGGUCAGUUCUUAGCAUUUAAAACAGUCAUCUUUACACAUACAAUUGCUUCAUUACACAAAUGCUUGAGUUUC
Molecule: long non-coding RNA, 2246 nt
Organism: Phyllostomus discolor (pale spear-nosed bat)
Lineage: Eukaryota; Metazoa; Chordata; Mammalia; Chiroptera; Phyllostomidae
Exons: 3
Source: RefSeq, a predicted model, not a curated record